RNAcentral lists this ribosomal RNA (253 nucleotides) under uncultured bacterium. RNAcentral's name for it is "partial 16S ribosomal RNA". It matches the Rfam family "Bacterial small subunit ribosomal RNA", at positions 524 to 776 of the family's 1533-position model. The record is from RNAcentral.
UACGUAGGUGGCAAGCGUUGUCCGGAUUUACUGGGCGUAAAGAGCGCGCAGGCGGUCGUUCAAGUCGCGUGUGAAAGCCCCCGGCUCAACUGGGGAGGGUCACGCGAUACUGAUCGACUCGAAGGCAGGAGAGGGUAGUGGAAUUCCCGGUGUAGUGGUGGAAUGCGUAGAUAUCGGGAGGAACACCAGUGGCGAAGGCGGUUGCCUGGAGCUUUGCUGACGCUGAUGCGCGAAAGCGUGGGGAGCGAUCCGG